This 306-nucleotide long non-coding RNA is filed under the name Homo sapiens (human). Its description in RNAcentral is "non-protein coding lnc-MOS-2:1". Lineage: Eukaryota; Metazoa; Chordata; Mammalia; Primates; Hominidae. The record is from RNAcentral.
ACUAACUCUUCUUUUCUUUUUAGGUUGCCUCUUGGUGCUGCCUUGGCCGUAUUUGGCACCCAGAAUGCUUCAUUCUGUGACGGUCUAUUAAUAAGGUUGCCUUGCUAGAGUUUGGAGCAGGGCCUCAAUUGGCCAAAAUGGGAAGGAUUGGAUUCCACUCUCUUCCACGAAGAGUCAAUGGGACUGGCUAAGAUCAAAGUCUGAGGCUUUUUCCAUCAGUAAUCAUCCCUUUUUGCUUUCUUUUACGACCACAUGAAACUUGAGAAGCCACCUAAAGCUAUAUCAUUUAGUGGAGUUGGGCAGUUC